Cyprinus carpio (common carp) is the source of this 1189-nucleotide long non-coding RNA. RefSeq lists it as uncharacterized. The record is from RefSeq and is a predicted model, not a curated record. NCBI's taxonomy places the organism in Eukaryota, Metazoa, Chordata, Actinopteri, Cypriniformes, Cyprinidae.
AUAGGGAAUUCAAUAAAUAAAACAAAAGUAAGGGGGAACACAAAGGCUGUUUUUUUUUUGUGUUUGUUUGUUUGUUUUUGUUUUUGUUUUUUUUUGUUUUUUUGGCAUGGGAGCUGAACCCGCAGCAGCCAGAAAUACAGCUUGAGUGAACCCGAAAUAAAAUGAACAAUGAAGUAAAAUAAAAUAUGAAUAGAGACGGGACUAUCAUCCAUCUGUGAAUGAAAACAGUGUGUGGCGGUAUGUGCCUGGUGCGGAAUACGCCAAAAUCCCAAAGAAGAAGAAGAAGAAGAAGAAGAAGAAGAAGCAUCCAGAGGCACUUUGGCGUUAACAUAUGCGAUCUGUACCCGGAUGUUGUCAACUUAUGGGACACAAACCUACCUGAUACCUUGCUGAAGUGGCUGGGCACUUCUACACUUCUUACUUCUACAGCACUUCUCAAAAUCAACCUAAAGAUUCAGCAAGUGCAUAAUGCCACGAUCAAAGGAAAUUCCAGAAGAUGUAAAAGAAAAGAUCAUUUUUUACCAUAAGUCUGGUAAGGGUUACAAAGCUAUUUCUAAAAUUAUGGGACUGCAUCGAUCCACUGUCAGAACUAUAAUUUCCAAAUGGAAAACACUUGGAACAGUGAUGAAUCUUCCCAGGAGUGGUCGACCCACAAAAAUUUCACCACGGACACAGCGGAAAAUCAUCCAGGAAGUCACAAAGAAACCCGAAAUAACGUCCAAAGAACUGCAGGCUUCUCUUGCUUUAGCUAAAAUCAGAGUUCAUGACUCUACAAUCAGACGGAGACUGGGCCAAAUUAGGAAACGCGAGAUAGUGUCAAAACGAAAAACACUGCAGAAAAAGAAAAUAAAUGCUUGUGUCUUGUUUGAAAAUAAUCUACAGGAAGAUUCCCAAGUUUAUGAGGAAAAUCUUUUAAAAACAGAAGUGGCAGAAGUGGACGUUUUUAUUUGAUAAGAGUCCCAUCAUGUCCAGUGUAAAACACACAGGCCUGCAACAAUCCACAGUAAAAAAAUAAUAAUAAUUGUAUCUGUAUUUACUUCUGGUGACAUAUUUUUUACAUUUUGUUGUGUCAGGUAUGAGUAGAACAGUACCUUAAUCCACUGUAUAAAGCUUGACAGAAAAAUAAGAAAAAUAUUCAUCUAUAUUACUGUUUCUAUGCAAAGGAAAUAAAAAAAGGCAAAAAAAAAAA